AAAGUCGUAACAAGGUUUCCGUAGGUGAACCUGCGGAAGGAUCAUUACAUGAUAUCAUAGCAGGGCUAAGAUGCGCUUUAGUGCGGAGCCUUGCACUGAUAUUCCACCCAUGACUUUGAGCACUUUUUUCUCUCAUCCUCCUCCUCUGUGAUCAAAGGAUUGAUCAUGUGGCAUCCACUGGAUCUUCUUUGGCAACAGGGAGCAGAGGAUGAGAAAUUACCAUACUCUUUUGUAAUUGCAGUCAAUGUCAGCUAUAUCAUAAUUUACAACUUUCAACAACGGAUCUCUUGGUUCUG
Molecule: unclassified non-coding RNA, 296 nt
Filed under: Ascomycota sp.
Lineage: Eukaryota; Fungi; Ascomycota
Description: partial contains small subunit ribosomal RNA, internal transcribed spacer 1, and 5.8S ribosomal RNA
Rfam family: Eukaryotic small subunit ribosomal RNA (bases 1-47)
Source: RNAcentral